CUAUUGCAAACAGUGGACUCCCAAGAGCAGAGGAUUUUCACCUCUGGCCAUUCAUUCUCUUCUGGUUAGAAACAGUCUGAUGAUCUGUCUAGACCUAUUUGCUGCCAGAGACCAACACUUCAUUACACCUGCUGCCAUAUGAUUCCAGGCUCUGUGGACUGAUCUGUGGGGAAGAAUGGCAGCGAGGAACCAGCACAGGACCCUUGGGUAACAUUUCAAGAGAGAGGUGCGGCUGAAGAUAUUUGUGCAUCAGAAGGAGAGAGGAAUCAGCCUUCCCCA
Molecule: long non-coding RNA, 279 nt
Organism: Apus apus (common swift)
Lineage: Eukaryota; Metazoa; Chordata; Aves; Apodiformes; Apodidae
Exons: 3
Source: RefSeq, a predicted model, not a curated record